RNAcentral lists this ribosomal RNA (268 nucleotides) under Salmonella enterica. RNAcentral's name for it is "partial 16S ribosomal RNA". It matches the Rfam family "Bacterial small subunit ribosomal RNA", at positions 1 to 265 of the family's 1533-position model. The record is from RNAcentral. Lineage: Bacteria; Pseudomonadati; Pseudomonadota; Gammaproteobacteria; Enterobacterales; Enterobacteriaceae. RNAcentral also lists the same sequence under 1 other name.
AAAUUGAAGAGUUUGAUCAUGGCUCAGAUUGAACGCUGGCGGCAGGCCUAACACAUGCAAGUCGAACGGUAACAGGAAGCAGCUUGCUGCUUUGCUGACGAGUGGCGGACGGGUGAGUAAUGUCUGGGAAACUGCCCGAUGGAGGGGGAUAACUACUGGAAACGGUGGCUAAUACCGCAUAACGUCGCAAGACCAAAGAGGGGGACCUUCGGGCCUCUUGCCAUCAGAUGUGCCCAGAUGGGAUUAGCUUGUUGGUGAGGUAACGGCU